RNAcentral lists this unclassified non-coding RNA (328 nucleotides) under soil metagenome. RNAcentral describes it as "partial contains 5.8S ribosomal RNA, internal transcribed spacer 2, and large subunit ribosomal RNA". The stretch from base 1 to 120 matches the Rfam family "5.8S ribosomal RNA", at positions 35 to 154 of the family's 154-position model. The record is from RNAcentral.
GAUGAAGAACGUAGCGAAAUGCGAUAAGUAAUGUGAAUUGCAGAAUUCAGUGAAUCAUCGAAUCUUUGAACGCACAUUGCGCCCCCUGGUAUUCCGGGGGGCAUGCCUGUUCGAGCGUCAUUUCACCACUCAAGCCUCGCUUGGUAUUGGGCAACGCGGUCCGCCGCGUGCCUCAAAUCGACCGGCUGGGUCUUCUGUCCCCUAAGCGUUGUGGAAACUUUCGCUAAAGGGUGUUCGGGAGGCUACGCCGUAAAACAACCCCAUUUCUAAGGUUGACCUCGGAUCAGGUAGGGAUACCCGCUGAACUUAAGCAUAUCAAUAAGCGGAG